GGGCGGCAGCUAUACAUGCAAGUCGAACGAACUCUGGUAUUGAUUGGUGCUUGCAUCAUGAUUUACAUUUGAGUGAGUGGCGAACUGGUGAGUAACACGUGGGAAACCUGCCCAGAAGCGGGGGAUAACACCUGGAAACAGAUGCUAAUACCGCAUAACAACUUGGACCGCAUGGUCCGAGCUUGAAAGAUGGCUUCGGCUAUCACUUUUGGAUGGUCCCGCGGCGUAUUAGCUAGAUGGUGGGGUAACGGCUCACCAUGGCAAUGAUACGUAGCCGACCUGAGAGGGUAAUCGGCCACAUUGGGACUGAGACACGGCCCAAACUCCUACGGGAGGCAGCAGUAGGGAAUCUUCCACAAUGGACGAAAGUCUGAUGGAGCAACGCCGCGUGAGUGAAGAAGGGUUUCGGCUCGUAAAACUCUGUUGUUAAAGAAGAACAUAUCUGAGAGUAACUGUUCAGGUAUUGACGGUAUUUAACCAGAAAGCCACGGCUAACUACGUGCCAGCAGCCGCGGUAAUACGUAGGUGGCAAGCGUUGUCCGGAUUUAUUGGGCGUAAAGCGAGCGCAGGCGGUUUUUUAAGUCUGAUGUGAAAGCCUUCGGCUCAACCGAAGAAGUGCAUCGGAAACUGGGAAACUUGAGUGCAGAAGAGGACAGUGGAACUCCAUGUGUAGCGGUGAAAUGCGUAGAUAUAUGGAAGAACACCAGUGGCGAAGGCGGCUGUCUGGUCUGUAACUGACGCUGAGGCUCGAAAGUAUGGGUAGCAAACAGGAUUAGAUACCCUGGUAGUCCAUACCGUAAACGAUGAAUGCUAAGUGUUGGAGGGUUUCCGCCCUUCAGUGCUGCAGCUAACGCAUUAAGCAUUCCGCCUGGGGAGUACGGCCGCAAGGCUGAAACUCAAAGGAAUUGACGGGGGCCCGCACAAGCGGUGGAGCAUGUGGUUUAAUUCGAAGCUACGCGAAGAACCUUACCAGGUCUUGACAUACUAUGCAAAUCUAAGAGAUUAGACGUUCCCUUCGGGGACAUGGAUACAGGUGGUGCAUGGUUGUCGUCAGCUCGUGUCGUGAGAUGUUGGGUUAAGUCCCGCAACGAGCGCAACCCUUAUUAUCAGUUGCCAGCAUUAAGUUGGGCACUCUGGUGAGACUGCCGGUGACAAACCGGAGGAAGGUGGGGAUGACGUCAAAUCAUCAUGCCCCUUAUGACCUGGGCUACACACGUGCUACAAUGGAUGGUACAACGAGUUGCGAACUCGCGAGAGUAAGCUAAUCUCUUAAAGCCAUUCUCAGUUCGGAUUGUAGGCUGCAACUCGCCUACAUGAAGUCGGAAUCGCUAGUAAUCGCGGAUCAGCAUGCCGCGGUGAAUACGUUCCCGGGCCUUGUACACACCGCCCGUCACACCAUGAGAGUUUGUAACACCCAAAGUCGGUGGGGUAACCUUUUAGGAACCAGCCGC
Molecule: ribosomal RNA, 1451 nt
Filed under: Lactiplantibacillus plantarum subsp. plantarum
Lineage: Bacteria; Bacillati; Bacillota; Bacilli; Lactobacillales; Lactobacillaceae
Description: bacterial SSU rRNA
Rfam family: Bacterial small subunit ribosomal RNA
Source: RNAcentral